RNAcentral lists this ribosomal RNA (489 nucleotides) under uncultured bacterium. Its description in RNAcentral is "partial 16S ribosomal RNA". It matches the Rfam family "Bacterial small subunit ribosomal RNA", at positions 28 to 507 of the family's 1533-position model. The record is from RNAcentral.
GACGAACGCUGGCGGCGUGCUUAACACAUGCAAGUCGAACGGUGAAGGGAUCAGCUUGCUGGUUCUGGAUGAGUGGCGAACGGGUGAGUAACACGUGAGUAACCUGCCCCCUUCUUCUGGAUAACCGCAUGAAAGUGUGGCUAAUACGGGAUAUUCUGGGUCUGUCGCAUGAUGGGUCUGGGAAAGAUAUUGUUUCGGUGGGGGAUGGGCUCGCGGCCUAUCAGCUUGUUGGUGGGGUGAUGGCCUACCAAGGCGGUGACGGGUAGCCGGCCUGAGAGGGUGGACGGUCACACUGGGACUGAGACACGGCCCAGACUCCUACGGGAGGCAGCAGUGGGGAAUAUUUCACAAUGGGCGCAAGCCUGAUGCAGCGACGCCGCGUGAGGGAUGGAGGCCUUCGGGUUGUAAACCUCUUUCGCCAGUGAAGCAGGCCUGCUCCUUGUGGGUGGGUUGACGGUAGCUGGAUAAGAAGCGCCGGCUAACUACGUG